CAUAUUAAUAAGCGGAGGAAAAGAAACUAACCAGGAUUCCCCUAGUAAGGGCGACUGAAGCGGGAAAAGCCCAUUCAAAAUCAGCGUGUCAAAGCGUUGAAUUGUGGUUUGGAGACACUUGCAUUAUUGGCCGCGCCAAGUCCCUUGGAAAGGGGCAGUACAAAGGGUGAAACUCCCGUCCACGUGGCCAUGCAAGCAAGCUGUCGAAGAGUCGAGUUGCUUGGGAUUGCAGCUCUAAGCGGGUGGUAAAUUCCAUCCAAGGCUAAAUACUGGUGAGAGACCGAUAGCGUACAAGUACCGUGAGGGAAAGAUGCAAAGAACUUUGAAAAGAGAGUUAAAGAGUACCUGAAAUUGCUGAAAAGGAAGCGAAGGAAACCAGUGCUAGAUGCGUCAUAUUUCCCUAAUCGCUUGCGAUUGGGGCGCUGUGUCCAUCGUUGACAAAAUCAUUUGCCAGGGCUGAAGGUGCUUUUAGGGGGUUUUCCUAAUGUGGCUGCAGCCUUGUGUGAGUGAUUAUGUCGAAAUGGUUUUCUUCUUCCCGUCUUG
This 543-nucleotide ribosomal RNA is filed under the name Stauroneis acuta. Its description in RNAcentral is "LSU rRNA". It matches the Rfam family "Eukaryotic large subunit ribosomal RNA", at positions 39 to 656 of the family's 3401-position model. Lineage: Eukaryota; Bacillariophyta; Bacillariophyceae; Naviculales; Stauroneidaceae. The record is from RNAcentral.